Molecule: ribosomal RNA, 492 nt
Filed under: uncultured bacterium
Lineage: Bacteria
Description: partial 16S ribosomal RNA
Rfam family: Bacterial small subunit ribosomal RNA
Source: RNAcentral
AGUGGACGCUGGCGGUAGGCCUAACACAUGCAAGUCGAACGGCAGCACAGUAAGAGCUUGCUCUUACGGGUGGCGAGUGGCGGACGGGUGAGGAAUACAUCGGAAUCUACUUUUUCGUGGGGGAUAACGUAGGGAAACUUACGCUAAUACCGCAUACGACCUACGGGUGAAAGCAGGGGAUCUUCGGACCUUGCGCGAUUGAAUGAGCCGAUGUCGGAUUAGCUAGUUGGCGGGGUAAAGGCCCACCAAGGCGACGAUCCGUAGCUGGUCUGAGAGGAUGAUCAGCCACACUGGAACUGAGAAACGGUCCAGACUCCUACGGGAGGCAGCAGUGGGGAAUAUUGGACAAUGGGCGCAAGCCUGAUCCAGCCAUACCGCGUGGGUGAAGAAGGCCUUCGGGUUGUAAAGCCCUUUUGUUGGGAAAGAAAAGCAGCAGGUUAAUACCCCGCUGUUCUGACGGUACCCAAAGAAUAAGCACCGGCUAACUUCGUG